UUAAGCGACUAAGCGUACACGGUGGAUGCCCUGGCAGUCAGAGGCGAUGAAGGACGUGCUAAUCUGCGAUAAGCGUCGGUAAGGUGAUAUGAACCGUUAUAACCGGCGAUUUCCGAAUGGGGAAACCCAGUGUGUUUCGACACACUAUCAUUAACUGAAUCCAUAGGUUAAUGAGGCGAACCGGGGGAACUGAAACAUCUAAGUACCCCGAGGAAAAGAAAUCAACCGAGAUUCCCCCAGUAGCGGCGAGCGAACGGGGAGCAGCCCAGAGCCUGAAUCAGUGUGUGUGUUAGUGGAAGCGUCUGGAAAGGCGCGCGAUACAGGGUGACAGCCCCGUACACAAAAAUGCACAUGCUGUGAGCUCGAUGAGUAGGGCGGGACACGUGGUAUCCUGUCUGAAUAUGGGGGGACCAUCCUCCAAGGCUAAAUACUCCUGACUGACCGAUAGUGAACCAGUACCGUGAGGGAAAGGCGAAAAGAACCCCGGCGAGGGGAGUGAAAAAGAACCUGAAACCGUGUACGUACAAGCAGUGGGAGCACGCUUAGGCGUGUGACUGCGUACCUUUUGUAUAAUGGGUCAGCGACUUAUAUUCUGUAGCAAGGUUAACCGAAUAGGGGAGCCGAAGGGAAACCGAGUCUUAACUGGGCGUUAAGUUGCAGGGUAUAGACCCGAAACCCGGUGAUCUAGCCAUGGGCAGGUUGAAGGUUGGGUAACACUAACUGGAGGACCGAACCGACUAAUGUUGAAAAAUUAGCGGAUGACUUGUGGCUGGGGGUGAAAGGCCAAUCAAACCGGGAGAUAGCUGGUUCUCCCCGAAAGCUAUUUAGGUAGCGCCUCGUGAAUUCAUCUCCGGGGGUAGAGCACUGUUUCGGCAAGGGGGUCAUCCCGACUUACCAACCCGAUGCAAACUGCGAAUACCGGAGAAUGUUAUCACGGGAGACACACGGCGGGUGCUAACGUCCGUCGUGAAGAGGGAAACAACCCAGACCGCCAGCUAAGGUCCCAAAGUCAUGGUUAAGUGGGAAACGAUGUGGGAAGGCCCAGACAGCCAGGAUGUUGGCUUAGAAGCAGCCAUCAUUUAAAGAAAGCGUAAUAGCUCACUGGUCGAGUCGGCCUGCGCGGAAGAUGUAACGGGGCUAAACCAUGCACCGAAGCUGCGGCAGCGACGCUUAUGCGUUGUUGGGUAGGGGAGCGUUCUGUAAGCCUGCGAAGGUGUGCUGUGAGGCAUGCUGGAGGUAUCAGAAGUGCGAAUGCUGACAUAAGUAACGAUAAAGCGGGUGAAAAGCCCGCUCGCCGGAAGACCAAGGGUUCCUGUCCAACGUUAAUCGGGGCAGGGUGAGUCGACCCCUAAGGCGAGGCCGAAAGGCGUAGUCGAUGGGAAACAGGUUAAUAUUCCUGUACUUGGUGUUACUGCGAAGGGGGGACGGAGAAGGCUAUGUUGGCCGGGCGACGGUUGUCCCGGUUUAAGCGUGUAGGCUGGUUUUCCAGGCAAAUCCGGAAAAUCAAGGCUGAGGCGUGAUGACGAGGCACUACGGUGCUGAAGCAACAAAUGCCCUGCUUCCAGGAAAAGCCUCUAAGCAUCAGGUAACAUCAAAUCGUACCCCAAACCGACACAGGUGGUCAGGUAGAGAAUACCAAGGCGCUUGAGAGAACUCGGGUGAAGGAACUAGGCAAAAUGGUGCCGUAACUUCGGGAGAAGGCACGCUGAUAUGUAGGUGAAGUCCCUCGCGGAUGGAGCUGAAAUCAGUCGAAGAUACCAGCUGGCUGCAACUGUUUAUUAAAAACACAGCACUGUGCAAACACGAAAGUGGACGUAUACGGUGUGACGCCUGCCCGGUGCCGGAAGGUUAAUUGAUGGGGUCAGCGCAAGCGAAGCUCUUGAUCGAAGCCCCGGUAAACGGCGGCCGUAACUAUAACGGUCCUAAGGUAGCGAAAUUCCUUGUCGGGUAAGUUCCGACCUGCACGAAUGGCGUAAUGAUGGCCAGGCUGUCUCCACCCGAGACUCAGUGAAAUUGAACUCGCUGUGAAGAUGCAGUGUACCCGCGGCAAGACGGAAAGACCCCGUGAACCUUUACUAUAGCUUGACACUGAACAUUGAGCCUUGAUGUGUAGGAUAGGUGGGAGGCUUUGAAGUGUGGACGCCAGUCUGCAUGGAGCCGACCUUGAAAUACCACCCUUUAAUGUUUGAUGUUCUAACGUUGACCCGUGAUCCGGGUUGCGGACAGUGUCUGGUGGGUAGUUUGACUGGGGCGGUCUCCUCCUAAAGAGUAACGGAGGAGCACGAAGGUUGGCUAAUCCUGGUCGGACAUCAGGAGGUUAGUGCAAUGGCAUAAGCCAGCUUGACUGCGAGCGUGACGGCGCGAGCAGGUGCGAAAGCAGGUCAUAGUGAUCCGGUGGUUCUGAAUGGAAGGGCCAUCGCUCAACGGAUAAAAGGUACUCCGGGGAUAACAGGCUGAUACCGCCCAAGAGUUCAUAUCGACGGCGGUGUUUGGCACCUCGAUGUCGGCUCAUCACAUCCUGGGGCUGAAGUAGGUCCCAAGGGUAUGGCUGUUCGCCAUUUAAAGUGGUACGCGAGCUGGGUUUAGAACGUCGUGAGACAGUUCGGUCCCUAUCUGCCGUGGGCGCUGGAGAACUGAGGGGGGCUGCUCCUAGUACGAGAGGACCGGAGUGGACGCAUCACUGGUGUUCGGGUUGUCAUGCCAAUGGCACUGCCCGGUAGCUAAAUGCGGAAGAGAUAAGUGCUGAAAGCAUCUAAGCACGAAACUUGCCCCGAGAUGAGUUCUCCCUGACUCCUUGAGAGUCCUGAAGGAACGUUGAAGACGACGACGUUGAUAGGCCGGGUGUGUAAGCGCAGCGAUGCGUUGAGCUAACCGGUACUAAUGAACCGUGAGGCUUAACCUU
RNAcentral lists this ribosomal RNA (2902 nucleotides) under Escherichia coli. Its description in RNAcentral is "bacterial LSU rRNA". It matches the Rfam family "Bacterial large subunit ribosomal RNA". The record is from RNAcentral. RNAcentral also lists the same sequence under 1 other name. Lineage: Bacteria; Pseudomonadati; Pseudomonadota; Gammaproteobacteria; Enterobacterales; Enterobacteriaceae.